UACGUAGGGUGCGAGCGUUAAUCGGAAUUACUGGGCGUAAAGCGUGCGCAGGCGGUUUGUCAAGUCAGAUGUGAAAGCCCCGGGCUCACCCUGGGAAUGGCGUUUGAAACUGGCAGGCUAGAGUUUGGCAGAGGGGGGUGGAAUUCCACGUGUAGCAGUGAAAUGCGUAGAGAUGUGGAGGAACAACGAUGGCGAAGGCAGCCCCCUGGGAUAACACUGACGCUCAUGCACGAAAGCGUGGGGAGCAGACAGG
Molecule: ribosomal RNA, 253 nt
Filed under: uncultured bacterium
Lineage: Bacteria
Description: partial 16S ribosomal RNA
Rfam family: Bacterial small subunit ribosomal RNA
Source: RNAcentral